RNAcentral lists this long non-coding RNA (738 nucleotides) under Taeniopygia guttata (zebra finch). RNAcentral describes it as "lncRNA (ENSTGUG00000029448.1)". Lineage: Eukaryota; Metazoa; Chordata; Aves; Passeriformes; Estrildidae. The record is from RNAcentral.
CGCACUUGAGCACAAGCCUUUUCAUGAGGCACAACCAACUCUGGUGGCAUUUUGGCUCUCUCAUUGCUCACAGGAGGAAAUAAACCCCAACCUUUGCAGCUGAGGCGAGGCACAGUGUGCUGUGUGAAUAAACACACAGAGUUAGCACAUCCCUGAGCCCCUGGCCCAGAAUUAACCCGGUACACCAGAGAAUGUCUCUCCAAUCCUCCUCUAAUGGAUGGCGGUGAGUGUUUGCCGGGCUCGCCGAUGGAGCUCCGGGUUUCAGCCAGGCAAAGGCCGGGGCUGUGUUUUCCUUGGAGCCGCCCCUGCCGCUGCCAGAGCCUUUCGGGGGCCGGGAGCCGAGCUCUGGGAGCGGCUCGGCUGGAAUUGUGCUGGGAUCCAGCCCAGGGAGAGCCCCUUGUGCUGCGGAGGCAGCGAGGCCGCUCCGCUCAGGGCCGCGGUGCCGCCGCCAUCGCGGCCGCCUUUGCGGCCCCUCACGGCGCCCCUGAAGGAUCCUGCGGGGCGGAGGCGCGGCCGAGCCUGAGGGCGGCCGGCACCUGCCGGGCUCGGGAGGAGCAGGGAAAUACCGGGAGACCGCGAGCAAGCCCUGGCUGGAGGAUUGGGUGGCUCAAGGGGCCAGGCAGAGCUUUCCCCUUGAUCCCAGCUGUGCUGAAGCCGUGGCUUGCCUCAUCUGGGAAGAGCCGAGACUCCAGGGGGUUCCCAGCGUGGGCAGGAGAGGCUGAGGAGCAGAAGGGCUGA